This 408-nucleotide ribosomal RNA is filed under the name bacterium enrichment culture clone ALO1_GLFRUDD03GRLE9. Its description in RNAcentral is "bacterial SSU rRNA". It matches the Rfam family "Bacterial small subunit ribosomal RNA", at positions 9 to 417 of the family's 1533-position model. The record is from RNAcentral.
GAGUUUGAUCUUGGCUCAGAUUGAACGCUGGCGGCAUGCCUUACACAUGCAAGUCGAACGGCAGCACGGGAGCUUGCUCCUGGUGGCGAGUGGCGAACGGGUGAGUAAUGCAUCGGAACGUAUCCUGGAGUGGGGGAUAACGUAGCGAAAGUUACGCUAAUACCGCAUAUUCUGUGAGCAGGAAAGCGGGGGACCUUCGGGCCUCGCGCUCUUGGAGCGGCCGAUGUCGGAUUAGCUAGUUGGUGAGGUAAAGGCUCACCAAGGCGACGAUCCGUAGCAGGUCUGAGAGGAUGAUCUGCCGCACUGGAACUGAGACGCGGUCCAGACUCCUACGGGAGGCAGCAGUGGGGAAUUUUGGACAAUGGGGGCAACCCUGAUCCAGCCAUGCCGCGUGAGUGAAGAAGGCCU